GGGUUAGUAGGUUGGUCAUGCCUCUGGUAUGUACUGGUCUCACUGAUUCCUCCUUCCUUAUGAACCGUAAUGCCAUUAAUUUGGUGUUGCGGGGAAUUUGGACUGUUACUUUGAAAAAUUAGAGUGUUUAAAGCAAGCUAACGCUUGAAUACAUUAGCAUGGAAUAAUGAAAAUAGGACGUUCGAUCUUAUUUUGUUGGUUUCUAGGAUUGACGUAAUGAUUAAUAGGGAUAGUUGGG
RNAcentral lists this ribosomal RNA (238 nucleotides) under uncultured Glomus. RNAcentral's name for it is "partial 18S ribosomal RNA". The stretch from base 38 to 238 matches the Rfam family "Eukaryotic small subunit ribosomal RNA", at positions 684 to 886 of the family's 1831-position model. Lineage: Eukaryota; Fungi; Glomeromycota; Glomeromycetes; Glomerales; Glomeraceae. The record is from RNAcentral. RNAcentral also lists the same sequence under 1 other name.